Molecule: unclassified non-coding RNA, 208 nt
Filed under: fungal sp.
Lineage: Eukaryota; Fungi
Description: partial internal transcribed spacer region
Rfam family: Eukaryotic small subunit ribosomal RNA (bases 1-46)
Source: RNAcentral
AAGUCGUAACAAGGUUUCCGUAGGUGAACCUGCGGAAGGAUCAUUAAUUGAUCAAAAUUGGAGGUUUUUUUUCAGCUCCGGCCGAAAAUACCGCCUUUUUCCUUUGUGAACUGUCUUGUACUGUUGUUGUAUAUUAUUUUUUUAGUGUGUUUUCCUUAAGGAAAAUAAAAUCUAAAGACAACUUUCAGCAAUGGAUCUCUUGGCUCUU